Molecule: ribosomal RNA, 253 nt
Filed under: uncultured bacterium
Lineage: Bacteria
Description: partial 16S ribosomal RNA
Rfam family: Bacterial small subunit ribosomal RNA
Source: RNAcentral
UACGGGGGGGGCAAGCGUUGUUCGGAAUUAUUGGGCGUAAAGGGCUCGUAGGCGGUUUGUCGCGUCGGGAGUGAAAACACACAGCUUAACUGUGUGCUUGCUUCCGAUACGGGCAGACUAGAGGUAUGCAGGGGAGAACGGAAUUCCUGGUGUAGCGGUGAAAUGCGCAGAUAUCAGGAGGAACACCGGUGGCGAAGGCGGUUCUCUGGGCAUUACCUGACGCUGAGGAGCGAAAGUGUGGGGAGCGAACAGG